GGGGUGAGUUGGGGGGGGGGGGGGGGGGGGGGGGCGGAGAAAGCGCUAGGGGGAGAUAAAUAGACACAGAGAAAAGUGAGAGAGGGGGGGGGAGAGAGAGUGUAACUGAGAAGGGAAGAGUCACUAAGCCCAGAAGCUGCUGGGACAGUGCCCAGAGGGGGGGUGGAUGGAGGGAGGGAAGGGAGUAUUUAUUCAUGCGACCUGUUAGCGUCAAAACCAAACAAAAGGCCGUUCCCCCGGAGGGCCAGAGUUUCCUAGACUUGACUUCCAGAAUGCUGGCCUGUUCCAGGCCGCUGCCAGGUCUCAGCAGUGGGCGCCGGGUGCUCGGCAGUGGGUGGGCUCGGUAGUUAGUCAUCUCACUUCUAGCAUUCUCUUCGGCUCUUUCUCUCUCUCUCUCUCGUGAUCUUUCUUCGUCUUUCUCGAACGAGAAUGGACAUUUCUUUCAUCGUCUUUACAGAGCGUUUACGACAGACAUACAGGCUUUAUGCGUAGAGAUUCUCACGAGUGGAAUUAGUAGCAUUUCCUACAGGUUACUAGUCAACAGCAACUAGUGACCACUUUGACUCCAAGAGGGACAUCUGGUGGCCAAGUAAGGAACUGUCUAUUCUACAACACUACUGGGUUAACACCAAUCCUCUUUUGUUCUCUCUCUGCCUUUCUCUCCCUUUUACAGUCCUGGUUCCUCUGACACGACCUAUCUUCAAACCAGCAACUAGAAUUCUUUCUUCACAAUCGGGAACCUUAUCAAGGAAAACAGAGGAAAUAACCCACAGGAAAUCGCCCUCCUCCAAACCCCGCCCCCUCGCCCCGUCUCCCACAGCAACAGGCACGCCAACCGGGAAAUCGGCACGAGCCAAUCAGAUGAUCACUCAACCUACACAGAGGGAACCCCCAACACUCAGAGGAUACGAGGAGGAGGAGAACAUGGUAAACGCAGGAGAGAGGAAGAAGGGUCAGUCAACCAGCCAGCCAGCCAAUCAACCAGCCAGCCAGCCAAUCAACCAGCCAGCCAGCCAGCCAGCCAGCCAGCCAGUCAGUCAUUCAUCUCUCAGAGCCAGCAUACAGAUGGAGCAGGAACUCGAGGAGGAACGUGGUGGGAACGCGUUGGUCAUCCAAUGGAACCCCCCAGCUCGACAACAGUCGCACCAGUCAGCACGUGGAGUAGGAAAUUGAAAUGCAGAAAAAACAUCACGUCUAAAGAACCCCCCCCCCCCCCCAAAAAAAAAACAAACAAACAAAAAAAACAUUUGGCAGAAUGAACCACCCGGAGACAAUUGGGUCAAAGUGGUCGCACCAUCCCAGCCGCACGCACACUCUCACAGACACGUACACACCUCAAACCCACCGCAACCUCCUGGACCCCGUUGACUUGACCCGGCCCCUCUAAUACUAACCAGACAGAGACAAUGCCAAAAGAAACAUAUCGUGAACAAGGAGUUGCACUACAAUCUGAACAAACACUAAUCUUUUGAUGUGCACUAUUACAUGCAGGCUGGCGAACAAGGAGAAACAUCCUUGAUGCGAGGCAGAGUCGUCUCCUUCCCUCAGUCUAACGGUCUACGAGCCGGUUCAUCUGCCUCACAGCCUGCUCCUCUAAACAGCAGCUCGAGACCAGCACCAGGCGACCAGCCUCCAGGACCUGGCAUCGUAACCCCCAAGACUGAAACCCAAGCUGGGCUAACGCGACACCACCAACCAGCUCCUAAGGCCCAUACUCUCCUUCAAACGAUGAAGAACGGCAAACACAAGUCAUUAAAGCACGGCGUACGUCCAUGCACGGUCACACACUGACAUAGGGACAGGCCUCGCCGUCAUGCACAUCGUGACCCAUGUCGGCUGUUGGGGUAUGUGAGCGGUUUGUGGCGAAGUACAGAAAUAGGUGGUGUGACUGCCUCCUCCCUAGAUACUAUGCACUCAUGAUUAUGACCAGUCACAUCUCUCCACUUCUUGUAUCAGACAAAUACCCCCCCCCCCAAUAUACCAUACACACAUCCAUACUAACACACACACACACCUGGUAACCCCCCCCCGACUCCCCCUUGGCCCUAUUUGUGUAAAGAAAAAGAAAAAAAGUUAUCUUCUGUUAUCUUAUGUCUUCUCUUAUUUGACUCGUUCCUUUUGAAUUUAUACCAAUUUUUUUAUUCGAUUUUUGUUUUGAUAUUUGAAGCACCUUUGACAGCACCUUAUGGGAGAGGGAGUGUUGGGGUGGGGUGAAGUGGGAGGAUAGAUGCGUAGACAGGGUGGCUUGAUGGUGAGAGGGUGCCAGUAGAGCGUGUUGGAGGGGGAAACGGUGAGAAUGAGGUUGCUACGGAAACCCAGUACCGCUCUUUCCUUCUGUCUCCCUAAAGUUUACCCUCCUUGUUUACACUCCCAGAAUGCACUCGUUCCAAGAACAGAGCGCCACACUGCGGAGCAAAAUCAAAUAUGUGACAUAUCUCUACCCAUGAUGCUCGGGGAGGAGGAGGAAGAGGAGGAGAGGAGAGGCCUGGGGUCAGAGUUCAGUCAGCUGUUUUUUUAGGGGCGGCCUGAUAGGAUGAGGGGGUUGCUAUGGUAACCAGCUCUCUGUCCCAACCUCGCCCCCUUACCCAGCCUUGGUAAGACAAACAUAGAAUUCAAUCAGUCCUUGUUGAUCAAAGUGCACUAAAGUUACCUUACCUUACCAGCCAACCAUAGGACAGGACUCGGCCCGGGGCAGGAAGCAAGGCUUCACUUUCCUGGUCUCAGUCGGACACAAACAACCACCACUAGUUAGGGCACGGCAUCGCUGAAAACACACACACACACAGCCACCUGCUAAAAACACACACACACACACACAGCCACCUGCAAACCUUUUUAGCAACAGUCAGUGUUGAAAACCAGCACCCAGCCAGAUUGACUUGAAAGGGAAGUCUUAAUGUUAUAGGACAAUCUGAGGAAGCCUUUAGCUUUUUGUUUUUAUCCUGCCUAUUAGAACCCACCAUUUAGUAUUCAUCAAAAGAUUUUUACGAAACGGAACAUAAAAAUCCAAUCGACUUCAACCCACCUCACAAAAUAACUGGACUGCCCAUGCCAUGUAAUUCAGUGCAGGGAAGCCGACUAACGAAGUGGUCGUUGCCAAUGGCGACCAUCUCAUCCGUUCCACGAGGAAGAACUAGCUAGCACUGCGGGGAUAACUCUUUCCAGCAAGGCUACUGGGGAUUUCUUUUCUAAUCUAUGGAAGUGCCUCUGUAUUCCCAUUAUGCAAUUUGUUAAAACAUGAAUUCAGGUUAUUUUCUUUCUCACAUAUAAGCUAUGGUGAAAUCUUAUGCCUGGAAAGGGAAGGGGUGGUGAGCUCACUAGAUAAUCGCAAGCAUCUUUAUAUAUAUAUAUAAUACACAUAUAUAUUUAUAGAUAUAUACAUUUUUUUAUUUGCAAAAUAAGCUCUGUGGCAGUCUAGUUAUUUUUUGAAGCGUGGCACAGAUAUGUAUCUCAAACCGCUGAUUUGCGCAAAAGUACCAGUAUCAUGAACCCACACACACACACACACACACACCCGCGUCUGAUACAGACACAAGCCUCCAGACACACAGGCAACAAUAGAGGAGGUGACGUCGUGGUGUAGUCAAAAGAUCGGUUUUAGGCGGACGGAUUUCUUAGUUCUUUGUUGUUUCGAUGGGAAGUAUUGUUAUUGAAAAUUGAAAAUGAUGUGUAUGUUGAUAGAGCCAUGUGCAAUGCCUUGGAUAGAUGAAUUGUGUUUGUCUGUUUGAUUGUUUUGAGGGUGUAAAGAAAAGGAAAGAGUGGGAAGACCCUCUGUUUUUUUGUUUUCAAGUCCUUGCGCUCCGGGACUCUAAAUACGAGGGCUGAGAAAAAACCCCAGUCUUUGUAAGUUUGGGGAUUUCUUUUUUUUUUUUAUUAUAGCUUUUUUUUAAAUAAAUUCUUUUGUUUGUAUUGAUUUGUUUUCAAAAUGUGGGAGGGCUGAAGGAACGUGUUUGCAUAACAAAAAAUAUAUAUCACUAAAUGAAACUGGUGCUUUUUACAAGAUAAAGUACAGUCAAACUCUAUUAUACAUACAUAAUAAACAAAAUUAAGUGUUAUCAUAAAGCAAAAAAAAUAAUUUAGGAAAAACUUUCAUUAUUCUAUUUCUCUUUUUGUAUUUACCAAGGGGGGAGGGGUUCAUUGUGUGACAAAAGGCAUUUUUCUUCAACCUUUGACCCCUAGGGAGAGGGAAGAGACCUCAGCACAGUCUGAAGGAGAAAGGGCUUUCUAAACAGAGGCAUGAACUAACACAGUACUGUCUGUGUACAAAGUCCUGUUGCGAUACACAAAAUCAUUAUCGCCACACAACUGGCUAUCCUUGACAGCCAAAACAUGCCCUUUUAUGGUAUAGAAUCCCUCUUCUGUAUUCCAAUUGGUUUACCCUGUGGACAUCAAACUGUCCAAUCAGAGUAAAGACAACAUUUGGUGUACUAAAGACAAGAUCUUCCCGCUUCUGGGAGAUGCAUCUGAAUUGGAAUCCGAUUUUGUAGAAAAGUGUUCACUCCAAACCCGGGUGACUUUGCAGUGUUUGGCGAGAUGGGAGAUGUGUUGUGAAAUCCAUUUUGGUAGGUGUAGUUGAUGUGUAGUACUCCUGUCUCGACCUGAGGAGAGAGAGAGAGAGAGAGAGAGAGAGAGAGAGAGAGAGAGAGAGAGAGAGAGAGAGAGAGAGAGAGAGGAGAGACUGAGGGAGACCCUGAGAACAGGUGGAGAGACCACAAGGUGAACCCUUCCCCCUCCACACAGGCUCCCUGUCCCCACCACGGUGUAAAUGACUCUAAAUAUUCUGUUUGGUGACGUAGUGUUAAUAGUGACAGAGCAUCUUAAAGGUUGUCCCUAAAAAGUGCCUUUUGUUCACAGUCUCCAUCUUGUAAUCCCGAGUGCCCGUCUCAAAAAACGCCCCCCUCCUUCUUCCUUUCUUCUUCUAUAUUCUCCUCCUCUUCUUCUUCGAGCUUUUCAAAGCAGUAUAUAUAUAGUACUAAAGGAAAUUGGUGUGAUUUAGUUCCUCUUUUUAUUGUUGAAUAAUUCAGAAAAAAAACUAAAAAAAAAACUUACAAAAAAAAAAAAAAACAUGUUUUCUUGUCUUGCUUCUCUUCCUCUGUCCUUUGUCUUCUUCUGUCUCUCUUGGACACUGGAGUAGUCUGUAGCCGUGUAAACUUCUCCUUCCCUCCUUCCCCUUCUCUUUCAUCCCUUCCUCAGAACGGGGAGGGGCUGAAGAAAAGAAAAAAAAAUGAAAACGCAAAACCUUUUGUCUGAGCAGAAUGCAGUUAGCUCAUAUGUUAUCCUGUCUGUACGCUUCACAUUGUAUUCCCAUACCUCCAGCUUCUCCAUUCAAACAGCUAAUGUAAGUGAACAAGUUACACCUGCAGGCUCUGGGUUGGGGUGUGGUGAGGUCGUGGCGUGCCUGGGCGUGAGAGGUUUUUCCGUGGGGAACAGAGGAUGAUGAUUGGUCAAUCCUGUCCGGCGGGGUUAAAAGUCACCUAGGAGCUUCUCUUUGAUUGGACUAUCGGAGGGAGCUGGCCAACAGGGAGCAGAGUAGAGUAGAGUAAAGGGCAGGCUUGUUUGUCAUUAUUUUUCUCAUUUUUUUUUUUUUUUAAUUACUUAAUUUGGAAUUUGCGUUCAUUUGAUCCAUUUCUGGUUAUUGUAUAACAUAGGCAGUGAAGACUGUAGACCUGCAGUGGUAUGAUAGCACAUUGCUAGUGGUUGUAUGUGACCAGACCCUUGUAUUAAAGUACCUGAUGACAACCAAGCACCUCAGCGGGUCAGAGCCAGACCAGGAAGUGUGUCAGUCACCCAGUCCACAGAAACAGAGCAGCAUUAGAGCCCCUCACAGUGAAAUGCAGAGAUCCAACCCAACACGCUUCCUUAGAGCUGGAGGUUUUUUACGUCUGUAGGGCACAGUGUUUACUGCAGUAUAUCCCCCCCCCCCAUUGGACAGUUUCCCUCCCUGCCCCCCCGGGAGCGUUUAGUCACCCCCCUCUUCAGACACACCUCCCAGAGCCUGUGGUGAAAUGCAUGUGUUAAUUACAGUUUCUUUUCCAUAAUAAGAAAAACACAGUUUGAAAGAGCACCACCUUCAACUGAUUGAAUAAAAGGAUGUUCUUUACUGUAA
Osmerus eperlanus (European smelt) is the source of this 6106-nucleotide long non-coding RNA. RefSeq lists it as uncharacterized. The record is from RefSeq and is a predicted model, not a curated record. The transcript has 2 exons. Lineage: Eukaryota; Metazoa; Chordata; Actinopteri; Osmeriformes; Osmeridae.